UCGGGAAUUUUGGGCAAUGGGCGAAAGCCUGACCCAGCAACGCCGCGUGAGGGAUGAAGUAUUUCGGUAUGUAAACCUCGAAAGAAUGGGAAGAAUAAAUGACGGUACCAUUUAUAAGCACCGGCUAACUCCGUGCCAGCAGCCGCGGUAAUACGGAGGGUGCGAGCGUUAUCCGGAUUUACUGGGUUUAAAGGGUGCGUAGGUGGGCUUAUAAGUCAGUGGUGAAAUCUCCGAGCUUAACUUGGAAACUGCCGUUGAUACUAUAGGUCUUGAAUUAUCUGGAGGUAAGCGGAAUAUGUCAUGUAGCGGUGAAAUGCUUAGAUAUGACAUAGAACACCAAUUGCGAAGGCAGCUUACUACAUAUAAAUUGACGCUGAGGCACGAAAGCGUGGGGAUCAAACA
This 402-nucleotide ribosomal RNA is filed under the name uncultured bacterium. RNAcentral describes it as "bacterial SSU rRNA". It matches the Rfam family "Bacterial small subunit ribosomal RNA", at positions 355 to 774 of the family's 1533-position model. The record is from RNAcentral.